Molecule: long non-coding RNA, 988 nt
Filed under: Homo sapiens (human)
Lineage: Eukaryota; Metazoa; Chordata; Mammalia; Primates; Hominidae
Description: long non-coding RNA NONHSAT230579
Source: RNAcentral
UUCAUAUCUCACCUGAGUCACAUCUGGUGUCCCCAGCACCACUCAGACCACCUGCUGGGCUGUUGUGGCCGUCAGAGUGGAGCAGAGCUGGGUUGGGUUCCAGUUCUGUUGCUCAUCUGCUAUGGGAUUUUUCAGCCAGUCCUCACCCUUCUCUAAGCCUCAGUUUCCACACCUGGGAAGUGGAGGGCCCCUGGCAGGUAAGGUUACAGAGAGGCCAGUUCUCCCACUCCGCCUGCCUUGGAACUACUGUCAGUCACUCUGGAGGUCCCUGCCUCCACCAGAGAAGCCUGCAGAGUUGAAGGGGGUUGAACUAUCCUUGCUGCAGAAGCCUCCUGAAUUCUGCAGGAAGGGAAAUGGCUGAGGGCAGGCUAUUGGGUGCUCCCACAGCAAACUCCACAAAGGUACUGAGUACUUUAGGAUCUGAAGGAAGAGGGAAUAUUUGUUUCCUUCACAGCCACAAAAGGACCUUUCCAAAAAUAGCCACCUCUUAGGUCCAAGCAGAAAUAUCUGAGCCACGCUUGGAGGGUUAGUAUUUUUUUUUUGGCAUUAUGAUGAUUCAACUUUUCAGAAAGAAAAUCAAAUGGAAAGUGCAUGUCAUACCUAGCAAGCCUUGUGAACAAGAUUGGGCAAAUUGCUUCCAAAUUCUUAACAUUCAUAACCUUUGGUCUGGAGAUACCAGUUCUAGAAUUUGUUGUAAGGAAAUAGUCAAGUAUAUGAAGAUAUCUGUAUGUAUGAGAAUGCUCUUCCUAGCCGAAGUAGCAAAAAUGGGAUAAACAUGGAUGUCUAACAGUAGAGGAAUGCUCAAAUAAUUACAAGGCAGCCAUAUGGUGAGAAGCACCAGGCAAUCAUUACCAAAAAGCAGAAGGGCUGCUGCCUGGGGAGGGGGUGGCAGGAGGGAAACACCCCAAUGGGGUACGAGGAACUUUUGGGGGCGAUGGAUGUGUUCACUAUGUUGGUUGUGGUCAUGGUUUCCCAGGUAUAUACAGAU